RNAcentral lists this ribosomal RNA (253 nucleotides) under uncultured bacterium. RNAcentral's name for it is "partial 16S ribosomal RNA". It matches the Rfam family "Bacterial small subunit ribosomal RNA", at positions 524 to 776 of the family's 1533-position model. The record is from RNAcentral.
UACGGGGGGGGCAAGCGUUGUUCGGAAUUACUGGGCGUAAAGGGCGCGUAGGCGGUUUGCUAAGUUGACUGUGAAAACUCUGGGCUUAACCCAGAGCCUGCAUUCAAUACUGGCAGGCUAGAGUUCUGGAGGGGAUAGCGGAAUUCCUGGUGUAGCGGUGAAAUGCGCAGAUAUCAGGAGGAACACCGGUGGCGAAGGCGGUUCUCUGGGCAUUACCUGACGCUGAGGAGCGAAAGUGUGGGGAGCGAACAGG